Molecule: ribosomal RNA, 549 nt
Filed under: uncultured Capnodiales
Lineage: Eukaryota; Fungi; Ascomycota; Dothideomycetes; Capnodiales
Description: eukaryotic LSU rRNA
Rfam family: 5.8S ribosomal RNA (bases 223-376)
Source: RNAcentral
GGGGAGAGCCCCGCUGACCCCUCUAGGAGAACCUGCCUAAGGAUCAUUACUGUGACGCGGCUCGGGCUCGCUCGGCCUCGCCCACCCUGUGUGACCCACUCCAUUGCUUCGGCGGGCCGUUGGCCAGAGGCCGACCGCCGGCUCUCGCCGGUGAGCACCCGCCGGAUUACCCUGAUACUCGACUGGCUACUCGGCUGUCCGAUCGCUUAGUGAAUCGAACAAAACUUUCAACAACGGAUCUCUUGGUUCCGGCAUCGAUGAAGAACGCAGCGAAAUGCGAUACCUUUUGUGAAUUGCAGAAUUCCCUGAAUCGUCUAGUCUUUGAACGGUCCUUGCGCCCUUUGGCAUUCCUAAGGGCACGCCUGUGCGAUCGUCCUUUCACCCUCGGGCGCUGCUUGCUCUUGGGCCGCCGACGGCGCUGGCGGGGCCCCAGAAGCGUUGGCGAUCAGCCGUUCUGGCGCACGACGAAAUCGAGGGGCGCGGACAGCCGCUUUCGCCCUUCCCUCUCAGGUUGACCUCCGAUCCAGGGGGGAUACCCGCUGAACUUUA